AUACAUGCAAGUCGAGCGAACAGACGAGGAGCUUGCUCCUCUGACGUUAGCGGCGGACGGGUGAGUAACACGUGGAUAACCUACCUAUAAGACUGGGAUAACUUCGGGAAACCGGAGCUAAUACCGGAUAAUAUAUUGAACCGCAUGGUUCAAUAGUGAAAGACGGUUUUGCUGUCACUUAUAGAUGGAUCCGCGCCGCAUUAGCUAGUUGGUAAGGUAACGGCUUACCAAGGCAACGAUGCGUAGCCGACCUGAGAGGGUGAUCGGCCACACUGGAACUGAGACACGGUCCAGACUCCUACGGGAGGCAGCAGUAGGGAAUCUUCCGCAAUGGGCGAAAGCCUGACGGAGCAACGCCGCGUGAGUGAUGAAGGUCUUCGGAUCGUAAAACUCUGUUAUUAGGGAAGAACAAAUGUGUAAGUAACUAUGCACGUCUUGACGGUACCUAAUCAGAAAGCCACGGCUAACUACGUGCCAGCAGCCGCGGUAAUACGUAGGUGGCAAGCGUUAUCCGGAAUUAUUGGGCGUAAAGCGCGCGUAGGCGGUUUUUUAAGUCUGAUGUGAAAGCCCACGGCUCAACCGUGGAGGGUCAUUGGAAACUGGAAAACUUGAGUGCAGAAGAGGAAAGUGGAAUUCCAUGUGUAGCGGUGAAAUGCGCAGAGAUAUGGAGGAACACCAGUGGCGAAGGCGACUUUCUGGUCUGUAACUGACGCUGAUGUGCGAAA
RNAcentral lists this ribosomal RNA (725 nucleotides) under uncultured Staphylococcus sp. RNAcentral's name for it is "bacterial SSU rRNA". It matches the Rfam family "Bacterial small subunit ribosomal RNA", at positions 51 to 758 of the family's 1533-position model. The record is from RNAcentral. Lineage: Bacteria; Bacillati; Bacillota; Bacilli; Caryophanales; Staphylococcaceae.